RNAcentral lists this ribosomal RNA (263 nucleotides) under uncultured bacterium. RNAcentral describes it as "partial 16S ribosomal RNA". It matches the Rfam family "Bacterial small subunit ribosomal RNA", at positions 524 to 786 of the family's 1533-position model. The record is from RNAcentral.
UACGUAGGGGGCGAGCGUUGUCCGGAAUGACUGGGCGUAAAGGGCGUGUAGGCGGCCGAUUAAGUCCGGAGUGAAAGUCCUGCUUUCAAGGUGGGAAUUGCUUUGGAAACUGGUUGGCUUGAGUGCGGAAGAGGUAAGUGGAAUUCCCAGUGUAGCGGUGAAAUGCGUAGAGAUUGGGAGGAACACCAGUGGCGAAGGCGACUUACUGGGCCGUAACUGACGCUGAGGCGCGAAAGCGUGGGGAGCGAACAGGAUUAGAUACC